Molecule: ribosomal RNA, 238 nt
Filed under: uncultured bacterium
Lineage: Bacteria
Description: partial 16S ribosomal RNA
Rfam family: Bacterial small subunit ribosomal RNA
Source: RNAcentral
UGGCGGACGGGUGAGUAACGCGUGGGUAACCUGCCUUGUACUGGGGGACAACAGUUAGAAAUGACUGCUAAUACCGCAUAAGCGCACAGUAUCGCAUGAUACAGUGUGAAAAACUCCGGUGGUACAAGAUGGACCCGCGUCUGAUUAGGUAGUUGGUGGGGUAACGGCCUACCAAGCCGACGAUCAGUAGCCGACCUGAGAGGGUGACCGGCCACAUUGGGACUGAGACACGGCCCAA